UUUUUUGAUUUUUUUUGAAUUUUUCACGUCCACUUCAAAAUGUGGUCAAAAUGGCGGGUAUGUCGACCAUUCAUAUUAUUUGAAAAUGUAACAAGCUCUCAUGUUUGUGAAAUUUGGUGUGGUAUUGGUUUAUAGUCUCUAGAAGGCGUGGAAAGUUUGUGAAAAAAAUUACUAAGUUUUAUCAUGUUUAUUUGGACAAAAG
Molecule: long non-coding RNA, 202 nt
Filed under: Hordeum vulgare
Lineage: Eukaryota; Viridiplantae; Streptophyta; Magnoliopsida; Poales; Poaceae
Description: long non-coding RNA (HVUL_LNC008826)
Source: RNAcentral